Molecule: unclassified non-coding RNA, 225 nt
Filed under: plant metagenome
Description: partial contains small subunit ribosomal RNA, internal transcribed spacer 1, and 5.8S ribosomal RNA
Source: RNAcentral
UCUCCGUUGGUGAACCAGCGGAGGGAUCAUUACAGGACUCGCAAGACUCCUACAACCCUGUGAACUUAACUAUAAGCACGUUGCUUCGGCGGGUGUCUCGGAGGGGGUUCUCCCUCCCCGAGACGCUAAACCCGCCGGCAGCCUACUAUACUCUGUCUCUUUUCGUUGGCAUCUCGAGUACAAUCAAACAAGUUAAAACUUUCAACAACGGAUCUCUUGGUUCUG